GAGUUUGAACCUGGCUCAGGAUGAACGCUGGCGGCGUGCCUAACACAUGCAAGUCGAACGGGGGAGUGUAAGGAAGGAGGAUGCUUGCAUCUUUUGGAGAUACAAUCCCCAGUGGCGGACGGGUGAGUAACGCGUGGGCAACCUGCCCUGUACAGGGGGAUACCAUCUGGAAACAGAUGCUAAUACCGCAUGAGCACAUUCAGCCGCAUGGCAGGAUGUGGAAAGGGAGCAAUCCCGGUACAGGAUGGACCCGCGUCUGAUUAGCCAGUUGGCAGGGUAACGGCCUACCAAAGCGACGAUCAGUAGCCGGCCUGAGAGGGUGAACGGCCACAUUGGGACUGAGACACGGCCCAGACUCCUACGGGAGGCAGCAGUGGGGAAUAUUGCACAAUGGGGGAAACCCUGAUGCAGCGACGCCGCGUGAGUGAAGAAGUAUUUCGGUAUGUAAAGCUCUGUCAGCAGGGAAGAAGAGGGGGCAACCCCGGACGGUACCUGACCAAGAAGCCCCGGCUAACUACGUGCCAGCAGCCGCGGUAAUACGUAGGGGGCAAGCGUUAUCCGGAAUCACUGGGUGUAAAGGGAGCGUAGACGGCAUGGCAAGCCUGGAGUGAAAGCCCACAGCCCAACUGUGGGACUGCUCUGGGAACUGUCAUACUGGAGUGCAGGAGAGGUAAGUGGAAUUCCUGGUGUAGCGGUGAAAUGCGUAGAUAUCAGGAGGAACACCAGUGGCGAAA
This 734-nucleotide ribosomal RNA is filed under the name uncultured bacterium. RNAcentral's name for it is "bacterial SSU rRNA". It matches the Rfam family "Bacterial small subunit ribosomal RNA", at positions 9 to 720 of the family's 1533-position model. The record is from RNAcentral.